This 595-nucleotide ribosomal RNA is filed under the name Debaryomyces hansenii. Its description in RNAcentral is "eukaryotic LSU rRNA". It matches the Rfam family "Eukaryotic large subunit ribosomal RNA", at positions 52 to 663 of the family's 3401-position model. Lineage: Eukaryota; Fungi; Ascomycota; Pichiomycetes; Serinales; Debaryomycetaceae. The record is from RNAcentral.
GGAGGAAAAGAAACCAACAGGGAUUGCCUUAGUAACGGCGAGUGAAGCGGCAAAAGCUCAAAUUUGAAAUCUGGCACCUUCGGUGUCCGAGUUGUAAUUUGAAGAAGGUAACUUUGGAGUUGGCUCUUGUCUAUGUUCCUUGGAACAGGACGUCACAGAGGGUGAGAAUCCCGUGCGAUGAGAUGCCCAAUUCUAUGUAAAGUGCUUUCGAAGAGUCGAGUUGUUUGGGAAUGCAGCUCUAAGUGGGUGGUAAAUUCCAUCUAAAGCUAAAUAUUGGCGAGAGACCGAUAGCGAACAAGUACAGUGAUGGAAAGAUGAAAAGAACUUUGAAAAGAGAGUGAAAAAGUACGUGAAAUUGUUGAAAGGGAAGGGCUUGAGAUCAGACUUGGUAUUUUGCGAUCCUUUCCUUCUUGGUUGGGUUCCUCGCAGCUUACUGGGCCAGCAUCGGUUUGGAUGGUAGGAUAAUGACUAAGGAAUGUGGCUCUACUUCGGUGGAGUGUUAUAGCCUUGGUUGAUACUGCCUGUCUAGACCGAGGACUGCGUCUUUGACUAGGAUGCUGGCAUAAUGAUCUUAAGCCACCCGUCUUGAAACACG